GACGAACGCUGGCGGCGUGCUUAACACAUGCAAGUCGAACGGAAAGGCCCUGCUUUUGUGGGGUGCUCGAGUGGCGAACGGGUGAGUAACACGUGAGUAACCUGCCCUUGACUUUGGGAUAACUUCAGGAAACUGGGGCUAAUACCGGAUAGGAGCUCCUGCUGCAUGGUGGGGGUUGGAAAGUUUCGGCGGUUGGGGAUGGACUCGCGGCUUAUCAGCUUGUUGGUGGGGUAGUGGCUUACCAAGGCUUUGACGGGUAGCCGGCCUGAGAGGGUGACCGGCCACAUUGGGACUGCGAUACGGGCCAGACUCCUACGGGAGGCAGCAGUGGGGAAUAUUGCACAAUGGGCGGAAGCCUGAUGCAGCAACGCCGCGUGCGGGAUGACGGCCUUCGGGUUGUAAACCGCUUUCGCCUGUGACGAAGCGUGAGUGACGGUAAUGGGUAAAGAAGCACCGGCUAACUACGUG
Molecule: ribosomal RNA, 468 nt
Filed under: uncultured bacterium
Lineage: Bacteria
Description: partial 16S ribosomal RNA
Rfam family: Bacterial small subunit ribosomal RNA
Source: RNAcentral